This 493-nucleotide ribosomal RNA is filed under the name uncultured bacterium. RNAcentral's name for it is "partial 16S ribosomal RNA". It matches the Rfam family "Bacterial small subunit ribosomal RNA", at positions 28 to 508 of the family's 1533-position model. The record is from RNAcentral.
GAUGAACGCUAGCUACAGGCUUAACACAUGCAAGUCGAGGGGAAACGCCAUCGAAAGCUUGCUUUUGAUGGGCGUCGACCGGCGCACGGGUGAGUAACGCGUAUCCAACCUGCCCAUCACUUGGGAAUAACCUUGCGAAAGUAAGACUAAUACCCAAUGACAUCCCACGAAGACAUCUGAAUGGGAUUACAGAUUUAUCGGUGAUGGAUGGGGAUGCGUCUGAUUAGCUUGUUGGCGGGGUAACGGCCCACCAAGGCAACGAUCAGUAGGGGUUCUGAGAGGAAGGUCCCACACAUAGGAACUGAGACACGGUCCAAACUCCUGCGGGAGGCAGCAGUGAGGAAGAAUGGUCAAUGGGCGAGAGCCUGAACCAGCCAAGGAGCGUGCAGGAUGACGGCCCUAUGGGUUGUAAACUGCUUUUAUAAGAAAAUAAAGUGGGUAUCGUGAGACUUUUUGCAUGUACCUUAUGAAUAAGGACCGGCUAAUUCCGUGC